UAGGGAAUCUUCCACAAUGGACGCAAGUCUGAUGGAGCAACGCCGCGUGAGUGAAGAAGGUUUUCGGACCGUAAAGCUCUGUUGUUGGUGAAGAAGGAUAGAGGUAGUAACUGGCCUUUAUUUGACGGUAAUCAACCAGAAAGUCACGGCUAACUACGUGCCGGCAGCCGCGGUAAUACGUAGGUGGCAAGCGUUGUCCGGAUUUAUUGGGCGUAAAGCGAGCGCAGGCGGAAGAAUAAGUCUGAUGUGAAAGCCCUCGGCUUAACCGAGGAAUUGCAUCGGAAACUGUUUUCUUGAGUGCAGAAGAGGAGAGUAGAACUCCAUGUGUAGCGGUGGAAUGCGUAGAUAUAUGGAAGAAUACCAGUGGCGAAGGCGGCUCUCUGGUCUGCAACUGACGCUGAGGCUCGAAAGCAUGGGUAGCGAACAGGAUUAGAUACCCUGGUAGUCCAUGCCGUAAACGAUGAGUGCUAAGUGUUGGGAGGCUUCCGCCUCUCAGUGCUGCAGCUAACGCAUUAAGCACUCCGCCUGGGGGAGUACGACCGCAAGGUUGAA
This 552-nucleotide ribosomal RNA is filed under the name uncultured bacterium. Its description in RNAcentral is "partial 16S ribosomal RNA". It matches the Rfam family "Bacterial small subunit ribosomal RNA", at positions 355 to 898 of the family's 1533-position model. The record is from RNAcentral.